Molecule: long non-coding RNA, 5814 nt
Organism: Callithrix jacchus (white-tufted-ear marmoset)
Lineage: Eukaryota; Metazoa; Chordata; Mammalia; Primates; Cebidae
Source: RefSeq, a predicted model, not a curated record
GGCAGAAACUGGCCUACAAAGGGUUAAUUCGUUAGCAGGGAAACCAUGCAUCAAAAAGUUUGUCUUAUGUUCUAAAUCUAGAACCCUCAACAAACAAAGGCUCACAGACACUGCCACUUGUCAACAGCUAAAGAGAAAUAAGAAAGAACUUCUGAGGGGGGAGCAUUCAUAAAGAGCAAGAACAUACUUACUGAGGUACUAAAAGCAUGAACUCUAAAAUUACGGACAUCUUAGGUUAGGGAUCAGUUCUACCACUGACUACCUAUGUGGCUUUGGGCAAGCUCCUUCAUCUUUCUAAGCCUCGGUCCUAUCUCCUGGAAUACAGGCAUAAUAAGAGUACUUACCCCCACAGAACUGUUGUGAAGAUUUAAAAUACAAUAUAUGCAAGACACAGUGCCUGGAAUACAGACAAUAUUCAAUGUUGGCUCUUAUCCUUCUCAAAGCACAUCAAGUUUGCUUUUCCUUUACUGAUUACAAAGACCUCAGAAAAUCAAAGUCUGGAUUCUAUUGCAAACAAAAGAGAAACAAAGGAUAUUAACUUCAGAUUGGAUAACAGAAAACAUCUGGCCUGUCAGUGAAGUUCAUUUUCUUUCUAUAAUAAUGCUGUCCAUCCUAAGGGUAGUUCAGCUUUGUAGAGAUAUAAGUCCCCACUGAUUAUCAAUACCAACCCUGACUGUGUGACAAGUAUUAAAAUACUACCAGAACCAAAAGGUGUACAUGGAAGACUAAUGAAGGGCAAAACUCAAAUCUACCCAUUAAACAUAAUGAGAACUUAAGGGAAAAUCUGAACAAAGCCUUAUGAACAAAUAAAAUACAAACAGACAAUGAAAAAAAGAAUUGAAACGAAUCCCCAGGUCAAAACACUGACAUUUCCACCAUUCAGCAGACUCAGGUCAGCAAACAUCUAUUAAGCAAUUCACUGCUCUCAAGACCGUCCAAUUCGGGUACAGGAGCCAAGAUAAACCAACAAGUAACCAUGAUAAAAGACAGAAUGAGAUGAGUGCUGGAAAAAUUCCAUAGGUGCCUGAGAGAGGCGGUAGCACACUUCCUGCAGGGACAAGGGUAAACAACAGAGCUAUAGUGGGAAUGAUUUUCAGGUAUGAGUGUAAAUAACAUGGCCACAAAUUAAGAUCCAUUCACCUAGCAAGUCUGAAGUAAUGAAAAUACGUUUUAAUAAGCUGCAUGCACACAUUUUAUACUGUCUAUUGAGAGUCUAUUUUAGGAGAUAUAUUAUGUUAUAUGCUAUAAGGGAACACAGUAACAUUUCUGACAUCUCCUAAGCUUUACGAUCCAGCUGGGGAGCAAAUUAUGCAUAUUGUAUUGUGAAUUCCCUGAGGGCAACUGAUGUGUCUUUUUUAUCUUUCUACCCCCAUCCUCUUGCGCAAUGCCUGCAACAUCAUUGGCACUAAAUAAUGUCUGGCAAAUGAGUAAAUAAAUAAGUGACUAUAAUAUAAAACAGAAUAUUAUAUGUGUCACUGAUAAUCCCUAUUAGAGAAGUUGAAGAGAGGAACACAAAGUCAGCAAGGAAGCGGCACUAUUUCUGUCACCUAGCAUUCACUCCCCAUAUUCCUCUGAAAAUCAGCCCUUCCUGUCUCUGUGCUCCCUUGGAAUGAACUUCCAGGGAUGGCAUGCGAGCUAAGCCAAGCAAAUAGAAAUACUGCAUUCCCCUGGUUACAGCAAUUGGUUCAACAGUGCAUACCUGACCCAAGCCAUGCCCAUGAAAUACAAUUACCGCUAAUCUUGGGAAUCAUGCUUAAGCAACAACAAAAAAAAUAAGUUAUUUUUCCUAUUGAACUUGGAGCUGAGAGGAUGAAAACCUAGAACUUCUGGCCACUGUCUUGCCACCGUAAGAACAAAGGCUGGGGGAGAAUCCGAAGGAACUCAUGGAACGAAAGCCUAGCAAUGGGGGAAGACCAGAUCCUAAAAACACUGUUUGAGCCCCUGGCCUUAGCAAUGUUAAAAGGAGGCGUUUUUCAGUUAAUAGCCAACAAAUUCCCUUUUUGCUUCAUUCACUGUGGGCUGGAUUUCUCUGUCAAGUGAAACUGUUUUCAUGCAAAGACUGAAUUAGAUUUCACUACUAAAAACCAUGGUGGGUUUUUAAAUAGAGAAGGAAUUCAGGUGAAAAAAACAACAGGUGAAGUAGGAAAACAGAAGACUACCUCUGUUAUAAUGAUUAAUGUAUGUUUAGCUCAAGUUUAAGUUCAGGUUAAGACUGAACAGAAUAGGUUAGGAUUAGCUAAGCAGGCUGAAUAUAGCCAAUUGCAUGGCUCACACUUCACCAAAAGGAGUGGCUGCUACCUAGCUCAAGCAAGUUAUCGCCAUGUGGGAACUGGUCCGGCAAUAGCCACAACUCCCAAUUUUCAACAAAAAGCUAAAUCUAGACUUUACAAGUACUGGCAAGACUUAACAGCAAAAGAAUGAAUUUACAGCCAUGUACAGAACAAACAAGCAAGUCUGUAGGGCAGGAUCCUGCAGUUAGGUUUGUGACUCAGGUUACUCAAAUGGCCAAGAAAGUAAAAUCAAGUCCGUACAAAAGGUAUGUGGACCCAAGUAACGGUUUCCUAAACAACACAAAUGUGUGCAUCUUCUAAGGAACACUAUAUGACAAGAGAAAGAACGGAGAAUUGUGGACAUACAGAAAAAGCGAUGGAAUGACUAGCUACAAUGCUGAGCUCCUAGGGCUGAAGAGCAGAUAGAGUCUGUGCUCUUAAGUCAGGCUGCCCAAGUUGCUGUUCAGGUUCUGCUACUUUGCUGUUCUGUGACUCCUGUGACCAAGUGUCCUCAAGUAUAAAUACUGCUAAAAACGGUGCCAAGCUCACAGAGCUGCUGUGAGGAGGAAAUGAGUUCAUACUUACUGUGGCUAGCAGAAUUUUAAGAUGGCCCCAAACUUCCUGCACGCAUGGAGUACACACUCUAUGAAUAAGUGAGUGCUGUUCUAAGCCACUAAGAUCACACAUUCAUCCCUCAGUAUUGAUUCUAGCACCCCUGUGGAUACCAAAAUCCACAGAUGCUCAAGUCCCUUAGAGUACAUGGCAUACUACAUGCACAUAACCUGUGCCUAUCCUCCUGUAUACUUUAAUCAUCUACAGAUUAUUUAUAAUACCUAAUAUAAAUAUUAUAUAAAUUUGUUUUUACACUUUUUUAUUUUAUAUUAUUUUUUAUUGUACUGUUAUUUUCAUUUCAAACAUUUUUUAUCUGUGGUGACCGAAUCUAUGGAUGAAGAACCCAAAGAUUACUCUAGUAAUUUAUUAUACAGCAACAGAAAAGUGUGUACAGUGAUAAAUUACCUAGAACACAGCUUGACAUAUAGGAAGACCUCAAUAAAUAUAAGCUAUUAUUGUUGUACUCUAUUUAAGUAUAUAUUCAGGUAAAUUUAAAAUAGCAUUCUAAUCACAAAACUUCAGUUUGUCUAUCUCAUAUUUGCUGGCACAGAAGAUGCACAGGCAUACAGAUGCAUCCCAGUGAUGCAAACUAGGGCAGGCAAUGUAUUAAAAAAGACUUUCUAUAACACAUGCGUUGAGAGUGAUCUUAAAGUGAUUUUGUAGAAAGAAACUAAUUAUUAUAUUCAUAUACUUUAUACAGGAAUCCAGUUGGAAAUAAGUUCAGGAUACUGAAUGAUAGCGUACUAACCUAAAAACAAAAUAUAACAUCAGGAAGUUAUUUGUAAUGCAUAUUGGAUAAAGAAAUACUUAGCAGAGAACAAAGCAUAAUAAUUUUACUGGUAAAUGAAAUUACAAUUUUAUGUAUAUGAUAGUAUUAAAUAAAGGUACUAUAUUUCAGAUGCUGGUAACUAAGAAGACAAGGCAUAACACAAAAUAUGUGUUAUGGAUGAACUCCCAUAAAGCACAUGUGCAAAACAAGUAGUAAAAGUCUGUAUAAAGCAGGCAGCAAAAUAUCAUGAAUUUGAAGACAUUCCCAUUGGCGUGGCCAUAAUACAUAUAGAAAUUUCUUUCAGUUUAAAACACUAGCUCACAUCAUAGUGCAAAAACAAACACGAAAGACUUUCAACGUAAUGUGUACAUAUGCCACAAAAGUACGUACUUCCCUGAACAUUAGCAAAUGACCAGCAACUGAAAACAUGAUAAAAAUAGACUUCAAUGAAUACAUAAGCAGGAAAAAAAAUAGACAGGAAAAUAGUAUCACAAAGAUUUUUACCUUUACCCUCAGAGCCAAGUAAACCACAGCCCAAAGCCUGAAACCCACCCACUAACACUGCUAGAGUUGGGAGUUUUCUCUUUCUCUCAAGCAUUUAUCACAUUAGCCACAGUCACCAUUAUCUUUAAAAUACCCGCCUGCAGCCUAAUCGCUGUAGAAAUCUUGACAUUAAGUUUGAACUUAAUGUUCUGUCAAUGCCUCUGUUGCUUUUCGAGCCACAGGCUACAAAUUAAUAACUUUAUAUCUGAAGAGGAAAAGCCCCAAGAUAAAUCUCUGUGGGUUGUGACUUGUUUUUAAAAACUACCAAUGAGACGUGAAACUUCCAUCUUUGUUGAAAUUUUUUAUGUAACUAGACUCCAUCACUAAGAGCAGCCUUGCUACAGCUCACUAGGAACGCUGACAUGUACCUGCUUGGUCUUACAUCCCUACAAUAGGCACAGAAGAUGGAAGCUAAGUUCUCACACAAUUACUUGGAAUAAGGAGCAUGUGUUACUUUGCAAAAAACAGUAACUAUUACCUAGUGUAAGUCACUUUUCCUGAGAUUGCCGUAAGCUUACAUGAGAAGGUGUCCUAAAUCUCUCAGACAUUGCUGAAUCCAAAAGGGAUCAGAGGACUGAUUUUGAGGAGCACAGACCUCAUUCAGUGAAACAAUAAUUAAAGAUUCUGUUUCACACUUUAUUCUAAAAUCUUACAAAAAGAUACAGAAGUGCCUCCAGAAAAAUGCUGCACUCCAACAGUUUCAUAGAAUUAUAGAAAAUCUCAUUUCAACACAAGCCUCAGCAUAGGAGCUUCCUUGUUAUCUUCAAUGUAACACAAAUCAUCCUCUUAACAUAAAAUAUUAGGGAUCGGCCGGGCGCAGUGGCUCACGCCUAUAAUCCCAGCACUUUGGGAGGCUGAGGCGGGUGGAUCACGAGGUCAAGAGAUCGAGACCAUCCUGGUCAACAUGGUGAAACCCCGUCUCUACUAAAAAUACAAAAAUUAGCUGGGCAUGGUGGCACACGUCUGUAGUCCCAGCUACUCGGGAGGCUGAGGCGGGAGAAUUGCCUGAACCCAGGAAGCAGAGGUUUCGGAGAGCCAAGAUCACGCCAUUGCACUCCAGCCUGGGUAACGAGAGCAAAACUCCGUCUCAAAAAAAAAAGAGGGAUAAAGUCAGACCAUGUCAAAUAAAUAAAUAAGGAUAAUAAAGGACAUACAGCUAUUUGAAAAAGAUUACUUGAAAUAACACAUAGGCUUCCAUAGUCAUGUUUAGAGAAAUAUUCUAACUAAAGUCAGACUUUUUAUUAAUUACCACAGAAUUCUUAAUUAUAAAAUCUAACAUGAAGGAAUAAAAAUCAUUUUAAGGGGCCGGACGCGGUGGCUCAAGCCUGUAAUCCCAGCACUUUGGGAGGCCGAGGCGGGUGGAUCACGAGGUCAAGAGAUCGAGACCAUCCUGGUCAACAUGGUGAAACCCCGUCUCUACUAAAAAUACAAAAAAUUAGCUGGGCAUAGUGACACGUGCCUGUAAUCCCAGCUACUCAGGAAGCUGAGGCAGGAGAAUUGUCUGAACCCAGGAGGCGGAGGUUGCGGUGAGCCGAGAUUGCGCCAUUGCACUCCAGCCUGGGUAACAAGAGCGAAACUCUGUCUCAAAAAAAAAAUAAUAAUUUUAAGGUUCCUUUCUUU